Molecule: ribosomal RNA, 304 nt
Filed under: uncultured bacterium
Lineage: Bacteria
Description: partial 16S ribosomal RNA
Rfam family: Bacterial small subunit ribosomal RNA
Source: RNAcentral
CAGCAGCAGCCGCGGUAAUACGUAGGGGGCUAGCGUUGUUCGGAGUUACUGGGCGUAAAGCGCACGUAGGCGGACUGGAAAGUCAGAGGUGAAAUCCCAGGGCUCAACCUUGGAACUGCCUUUGAAACUAUCAGUCUGGAGUUCGAGAGAGAUGAGUGGAAUUCCGAGUGUAGAGGUGAAAUUCGUAGAUAUUCGGAGGAACACCAGUGGCGAAGGCGGCUCACUGGCUCGAUACUGACGCUGAGGUGCGAAAGCGUGGGGAGCAAACAGGAUUAGAUACCCCCGUAGUCCCUGUCUCUUAUAC